UUUAUUAGUCAUUUUUUAGCCAAAUGCACAGGUCCAAAUUCAUUUGUUAAUAAAAAAAAAACGAUAUUUCCCGUUUUUCUUCAAGAAUUUAAGCAUUAGCCUAAUGCUUAGGCUACAUAAACACUAUCGAGGAGUGUAAUAAGAAGGCCUUUAAGACGCAUCCAGUGCAGCUGAAGAGGAGCUGUCCAGGAGCGGUGGUGGUGUCUCUCUAGACAUAUGGAUGGGGUUAACGGCUUCCCAUCUGGCCUGAGCUGGGCCAACGGGUUCGCGGACCAGACGGUGGAUUGUGUGCCCAGCAAACGCAAGAGGAGCUGCGUGCAGGGGGAUGGAGCGCAUGGCAGUAGUACACAUGGAGAUGGUGCACAGCAAGACCACAAAGCCUAUCCCGUUCAUCCGGCUCCAAACAAACACAGGAGUUCCUUCAUACCCAUCGAUGGCGAUAAAGGGGUGUACUACUCAGAGCGCUGGGAGCCCAAUGGGAGCACGCUUUACUUCCCGGUCACAGGGCGACGUCUGGUGAACAUGGACAAAUAUGACCAGAUCACCUUCGAGCAGGGAUGCUUCUUCAUCGGGGACGAGUCGGGCGGUUUCCGACAGAAGACAGAAGGUGUUCCAAGAGGUUGUCGGAUCUCUAGGGGGGUUGUGAGGAGGCAGAGCAGCACUCGGUGACCCGAAACAGACUGCUGUGUCGACAUGGUUCACUAGUCCUGUCCACUGCUGGAAAAGGGCAGACCAAAUGAAUCCUCAACAUAUCACUGUGCCUGAAUUUGUACAGUUGGCUUGUUUUGUGGCAUUUUAUCAGCUGCCCAAAUACUUUUAAUCAUUGAAGAUCAUAGAGAAUAUUGGUGGUCUUCGUAGCUCGGGUUGUUCACCGAGCUUGGCAUUUAGGUUGCAAACGUUUCAUCACCAGUCGAGGUGACAUCAUCAGCAAGUUGUGACUUGUACACUGAUGAUGUCACCUCGACUGGUGAUGAAACGUUCGCAACCUAAAUGUGAAGCUCGGCAAACAACCGAACACCUCAACUUUUAAUCAUUUUGUAUAUGUGAAUUGUCUAUAUAGUUUUUUUUUCCAAUCUGUAUUUUGUUUUUAGAACACCAUCCCUCUGCAGGGGUUACAAAAGAAUGGAAAGGAUCAACCACAUGUGUGCAAGAAACAUUCUAUGGUCUUUACAAAACUCGAAGAUCAAUCACCCAGAUAUUACUACUGGGUUCAUAUUCUUAAAGUGGAACCUGAAGAAAAUGCACUUCACUUGACAUUCCUACUUUACAGUGUUCAAUAGUAGGUAUAUUCUUUUUCCCAAAAGUGGGAGGUUGGCUGUUACUAUUUUCUGUUUGUAGGUGUCCUGACAUACAGUUAAAUGAGGACACACAGCUUAUAAUAAUCUCUAACUGUAAGCGUGUCACAUGAAGACACAUUUUUGGUCACCGGGGUGAUGAGGGAAUUCUUUAUGUUGUAUGGUAUGAGGAAAUGUUGGAUUGUAGCUCUGUAGAACAAUGGAGGAAAAAUGUUUUUUGAAGAAGAGCUUUGAAAACGGCACCUUAACUAUUUGAGAGAACUGUAAGCAGACGACCAAUGGUACUGCUCUUUUACCGAGGAAUUUAGUGUUAUAUUUACUGCUUUUUUCAAAUACAAUUAGGUAUUCGAAUUUUUGUCAGUUUUGAUAAAGCUUUGGUUUUUGUACAGUUUUUUUGAACAAUAAAGACUUUAAGCUCUAUUAAUGCA
Molecule: long non-coding RNA, 1723 nt
Filed under: Scleropages formosus (Asian bonytongue)
Lineage: Eukaryota; Metazoa; Chordata; Actinopteri; Osteoglossiformes; Osteoglossidae
Description: lncRNA (ENSSFOG00015031520.1)
Source: RNAcentral